AUACGGAGGAUGCGAGCGUUAUCCGGAUUUAUUGGAUUUAAAGGGAGCGUAGGUGGGAUAUUAAGUCAGCUGUGAAAGUUUGGGGCUCAACCUUAAAAUUGCAGUUGAUACUGGUCUCCUUGAGUACGGUACAGGUGGGCGGAAUUCGUGGUGUAGCGGUGAAAUGCUUAGAUAUCACGAAGAACUCCGAUCGCGAAGGCAGCUCACCGGGCCGGAACUGACACUGAUGCUCGAAAGUGCGGGUAUCAAACAGGAUUAGAUACCCUGGUAGUCCGCACAGUAAACGAUGAAUACUCGCUGUUUGCGAUACACGGUAAGCGGCCAAGCGAAAGCGUUAAGUAUUCCACCUGGGGAGUACGCCGGCAACGGUGAAACUCAAAUGAAUCGACGGGG
This 393-nucleotide ribosomal RNA is filed under the name uncultured bacterium. Its description in RNAcentral is "partial 16S ribosomal RNA". It matches the Rfam family "Bacterial small subunit ribosomal RNA", at positions 523 to 918 of the family's 1533-position model. The record is from RNAcentral.